RNAcentral lists this ribosomal RNA (301 nucleotides) under uncultured bacterium. RNAcentral describes it as "partial 16S ribosomal RNA". It matches the Rfam family "Bacterial small subunit ribosomal RNA", at positions 509 to 807 of the family's 1533-position model. The record is from RNAcentral.
CAGUCGCCGCGGGAAUACGUAGGGUGCGAGCGUUAAUCGGAAUUACUGGGCGUAAAGCGUGCGCAGGCGGUUAUGUAAGACAGGCGUGAAAUCCCCGGGCUCAACCUGGGAAUGGCGCUUGUGACUGCAAAGCUAGAGUGCGGCAGAGGGGGAUGGAAUUCCGCGUGUAGCAGUGAAAUGCGUAGAUAUGCGGAGGAACACCGAUGGCGAAGGCAAUCCCCUGGGCCUGCACUGACGCUCAUGCACGAAAGCGUGGGGAGCAAACAGGAUUAGAUACCCCCGUAGUCCCUGUCUCUUAUAC